This 274-nucleotide ribosomal RNA is filed under the name uncultured bacterium. RNAcentral describes it as "partial 16S ribosomal RNA". It matches the Rfam family "Bacterial small subunit ribosomal RNA", at positions 523 to 796 of the family's 1533-position model. The record is from RNAcentral.
CUACGGAGGGUGCAAGCGUUACUCGGAAUCACUGGGCGUAAAGGAUGCGUAGGCGGAUAAUCAAGUCAAAAGUGAAAUCCCACGGCUUAACCGUGGAACUGCUUUCGAAACUGGUUAUCUAGAAUAUGGAAGAGGCAGAUGGAAUUAGUGGUGUAGGGGUAAAAUCCGUAGAGAUCACUAGGAAUACCGAUUGCGAAGGCGAUCUGCUGGGACAUUAUUGACGCUGAGGCAUGAAAGCGUGGGGAGCAAACAGGAUUAGAAACCCCAGUAGUCC